GGACUACUGGGGUAUCUAAUCCCGUUCGCUCCCCUAGCUUUCGCACCUGAGCGUCAGAAACGAGCCAGGAUGCUGCCUUCGCCUUCGGUGUUCUUCCAGAUCUCUACGCAUUUCACCGCUCCACCUGGAAUUCCGCAUCCCUCUCUCGUUCUCAAGUCUUGCCGUUUUCCCAGGCCUGUGGCAGUUGAGCCACCACCUGUCACUGGAAACGCACAAGACCGCCUGCGUGCCCUUUACGCCCAAUAAAUCCGGACAACGCUUGCCCCCUACGUAUUACCGCGGCGGCUGGCAC
Molecule: ribosomal RNA, 292 nt
Filed under: uncultured bacterium
Lineage: Bacteria
Description: partial 16S ribosomal RNA
Source: RNAcentral